Molecule: ribosomal RNA, 428 nt
Filed under: uncultured bacterium
Lineage: Bacteria
Description: partial 16S ribosomal RNA
Rfam family: Bacterial small subunit ribosomal RNA
Source: RNAcentral
GUGGGGAAUAUUGGGCAAUGGGGGAAACCCUGACCCAGCAACGCCGCGUGAAGGAAGAAGGCUUUCGGGUUGUAAACUUCUUUUACCAGGGAAAAACACAAUGAUGGUACCUGGAGAAAAAGCUACGGCUAACUACGUGCCAGCAGCCGCGGUAAUACGUAGGUGGCAAGCGUUGUCCGGAAUUACUGGGUGUAAAGGGCGUGUAGGCGGAACUACAAGUCAGGGGUGAAAACUAUGGGCUUAACCCAUAGCCUACCUUUGAAACUGUAGUCCUUGAGUGCUGGAGAGGCAAUUGGAAUUCCUAGUGUAGCGGUGAAAUGCGUAGAUAUUAGGAGGAACACCAGUGGCGAAGGCGAAUUGCUGGACAGUAACUGACGCUGAGGCGCGAAAGCGUGGGGAGCAAACAGGAUUAGAAACCCCUGUAGUCC